Molecule: ribosomal RNA, 1437 nt
Filed under: wastewater metagenome
Description: bacterial LSU rRNA
Rfam family: Bacterial large subunit ribosomal RNA
Source: RNAcentral
AGCGGUAGGAGAGUAUUGUACUCUGCGAUGAAGCGGAAGGCGUGAGCCACCGUGGAGCGUGUACAAGUAAGAAUGUUGGCACAAGUAACCGCAAGACAGGUGAAAUCCCUGUCCGCCGAAAGACUAAGGUUUCCGCUGCAACGACAAUCGACAGCGGGUUAGUCGGGCCUAAGGAGAUGGCGAUAGCCGCAUCCGAUGGACACAUGGUUAAUAUUCCAUGACUUUAUUGCAAGCGAUGGAGGGACGGAGAACAUAAUUCCCCACGCAUUAUUGGAUUUGACGCUCGUACUGGUAGAGAGGAUAUUUAGGAAAAUCCGGAUAUCACAUACUCUCGAAAGAGCGACGACUGGAGCCCUCGGGUUCCAGAAGGGGGAAGAAUAGUCUUCCAAGAAAAUCUUCUAGCAUUCAAUUGCAAUGAAUCCGUACCGUAAACCGACACAGGUAGUCAGGUCGAGUAGACCAAGGCGAACGAGUGAGUAAUCCUCAAGGAACUCGGCAAAAAAGCAGCCGUAACUUUGGAAUAAGGCUUGCCCAUGUUUAACUACAUGGGCCGCAGCGAAAGUAUCUCUGGCGACUGUUUAUCAAAAACACAGCUCCCUGCGAAAUCGUAAGAUGAUGUAUAGGGGGUGACACCUGACCAAUGCCAGAAGGUUAAAUAUCGGUGGUGUACAACAUCCAGCGCGUGAUCAAUUGAUCGUGCAUUGAAUGUUGUAUGCUGGCUGAUAUAAGCCCUGGUGAAUGUCGGCCGUAACUAUAACGGUCCUAAGGUAGCGAAAUACCUUGUCGGGUAAAUUCCGACGCGCACGAAUGGUGUAACGACUGGAGAACUGUCUCGAGGAUUAGCUCGGUGAAAAUACAAUACCGGUGAAGAUGCCGGUUACCUGCAGUUAGACGAAAAGACCCCGGGAGCUUUACUAUAGCUUCACAUUGGGCAUGUUGAUAUUGUGCGUAGAAUAGGUGGGAGAGGUUAUGCGUAUGGUUUCGGUCAUACGAUACUCGUCAGUGAAAUACCACUCUCAAUAUUGGCUUGUCCUAACCUGUACGAAAAAACGUACAGAGACAGUGUGUGGUGGGUAGUUUGUUUGGGGCGAAUCCCUCCUAAAUUGUAACGGAGGGGCCUAUAAAGGUCAGCUAGGCGUGAAUGGAAACCAUGCCGAUAGUGUAAUGGCACAAGCUGGCUUGACUGCAAGACGUACAUGUCGAGCAGGUGCGAAAGCAGAGCAUAGUGAACCGACCUAACGCUUUAGAUGCGUGGGAAGAUCAACGGAUAAAAGCUACCCCGGGGAUAACAGGCUAGUAUCGCCCGAGCGUCCAUAGCGACGGCGGUGUUCGGCACCUCGAUGUCGGCUCAUCUUAUCCUGGGGCUGGAGAAGGUCCCAAGGGUUUGGCUGUUCGCCAAUUAAAAAGAUACGCGAGCUGGGUUCAGACCGUUUAGGA